AUUGAACGCUGGCGGCAUGCCUUACACAUGCAAGUCGAACGGCAGCACGGGUGCUUGCACCUGGUGGCGAGUGGCGAACGGGUGAGUAAUACAUCGGAACAUGUUCUGUAGUGGGGGAUAGCCCGGCGAAAGCCGGAUUAAUACCGCAUACGAUCUACGGAUGAAAGCGGGGGACCUUCGGGCCUCGCGCUAUAGGGUUGGCUGAUAGCUGAUUAGCUAGUUGGUGGGGUAAAGGCCUACCAAGGCGACGAUCAGUAGCUGGUCUGAGAGGACGACCAGCCACACUGGGACUGAGACACGGCCCAGACUCCUACGGGAGGCAGCAGUGGGGAAUUUUGGACAAUGGGCGAAAGCCUGAUCCAGCAAUGCCGCGUGUGUGAAGAAGGCCUUCGGGUUGUAAAGCACUUUUGUCCGGAAAGAAAUCCUUGGCUCUAAUACAGUCGGGGGAUGACGGUACCGGAAGAAUAAGCACCGGCUAACUACGUG
Molecule: ribosomal RNA, 486 nt
Filed under: uncultured bacterium
Lineage: Bacteria
Description: partial 16S ribosomal RNA
Rfam family: Bacterial small subunit ribosomal RNA
Source: RNAcentral